This 68-nucleotide transfer RNA is filed under the name Dendrortyx macroura. Its description in RNAcentral is "tRNA-Glu". It matches the Rfam family "tRNA". From Rfam's summary of the family: Transfer RNA (tRNA) molecules are approximately 80 nucleotides in length. Their secondary structure includes four short double-helical elements and three loops (D, anti-codon, and T loops). Further hydrogen bonds mediate the characteristic L-shaped molecular structure. tRNAs have two regions of fundamental functional importance: the anti-codon, which is responsible for specific mRNA codon recognition, and the 3' end, to which the tRNAs corresponding amino acid is attached (by aminoacyl-tRNA synthetases). tRNAs cope with the degeneracy of the genetic code in two manners: having more than one tRNA (with a specific anti-codon) for a particular amino acid; and 'wobble' base-pairing, i.e. permitting non-standard base-pairing at the 3rd anti-codon position. Lineage: Eukaryota; Metazoa; Chordata; Aves; Galliformes; Odontophoridae. The record is from RNAcentral.
GUUUCUGUAGUUGAGAACAACAAUGGCUUUUCAAGCCGUAGGCCUUGGGGCAGAGCCAAGCGGAAAUA